GACGAACGCUGGCGGCGUGCCUAAUACAUGCAAGUCGAACGCACAGUUUAUACCGUAGCUUGCUACACCAUAGACUGUGAGUUGCGAACGGGUGAGUCACGCGUAGGUAACCUGCCUGGUAGCGGGAGAUAACUAUUGUAAACGAUAGCUAAUACCCCAUAAUAUUAAUUAUUCCAUGAUAAUUCAUUGAAAGGUGCAAUUGCACCACUACCAUAUGGACCUGCGUUGUAUUAGCUAGUAGGGGAGGUAACGGCUCACCUAGGCGGCGAUACAUAGCCGACCUGGGAAGGUGGUCGGCCAAACUGGGACUGGGACACGGGCCAGAAUCCUACGGGAGGGAGCAAGAGGGAAACAUCGGAAAUGGACGGAAGUCUGAACGAGGAAAGCCGGGGGAGUGAAGAAGGUUUUCGGAUCGGAAAGGUCUGUUGUAAGGGAAGAACGGGUGUGAGAGUGGAAAGUUCACGCUGUGACGGUAUCUAAACAGAAAGGAACGGCUAACUACGUG
RNAcentral lists this ribosomal RNA (505 nucleotides) under uncultured bacterium. RNAcentral's name for it is "partial 16S ribosomal RNA". It matches the Rfam family "Bacterial small subunit ribosomal RNA", at positions 28 to 507 of the family's 1533-position model. The record is from RNAcentral.